AAUAAAACGAUUAGGCACCAUUUGGUUCGGGGGAUAAGCGGGAAUAACGAAAGUUAUCCCCGCUAUUCCGCCAAACGGGAUCAUUUUUUACCGGAAUAUUUUAUUCCGGUCAAAACUUGCUAUUCCCGGUUAUUCCGGAAUAGCAAGCUUUUUACUAUUCCACCAUUUUGGUGGAAUAGUGCUAUUCCCAUGCUUAAUUUCAAACUUAAUUAAAAUUAUAAAAUAAAUUAAAACUAAAUUAUAUAAAUAUAAUAUAUUAUAUAUUAUAAUACAUUAUUUUUAUUAUAAAAUUAUUAAUUGUGCUAUAUUAAUACAUAUUAUUUAUAUUUAAAUAUUAUAAUAAAUUUUAUAAUAAAUUAUAUUUAAAUAUUAAAAUAAAUUAAAAUUUAAAAUUUAAAUAAAUUUAAAAUUUAAAAUAUUAUAAUAAAUUAUAUUUAAAAUUUAAAAUUUGUAAUCUCAAAAUUAAAGUUUAUAAUUUUAAAUUCCACAUUUUAAAUUUUAAAUUUAAAUUUUAAAAUUUUAAAUUUUUGAAAUUUUAAAUUUGAAUUUUAUUUUUUUUCAAAUUUAAAUUUGAUCUUAAAUUUAAAGUUAGAAAUUUAAAAUUUAAAUUUUGAAUUUAAAAUUUGAGAUUUUAAAUUUUAAAUUUUAAUUUCAAAAUUUGAAAUUUAAAAGUUAAAAUUUUAAAUUUUAAAAUAUAAAUAUAAAAUAUAAAAAUUUAAAUUCUAAUAUAAAUAAAAAAGUGAUAAUAUUAUUAAUUUUUAUUUAUAACUACCCACUUUAAAUCUUAUUCCAUCUUACCUAACCAAACGUUAUUUUUCUUAUUCCCAGGAAUAACCCAAUUUUCAUCCAAACGCAAAAUUGAUUUAAUCCCCGCUUAUAUCUCAAUUUAUACCUAUUCCUGGAAUACCUACUUUUUGCUUAUCCCCGAACCAAACGAUACCUUAGUAAAUAGAGAAGAAAAAAGAAGUUCACAUGAUCAAUCUUAGAACAGGAUAAAGUUUAGGUGGGUGUCUAUACAUUAGUAGAUUAUAUUUAAUUGUAUGGAUUGUUGAUUUUAAUACUCUUUCCCUCUCUUUUUAUAUAUAGCCUGGUGUUACUAUUGGUUAAAGAUAAGGUUAAAUAAUAUAAAAUAUAGUAUGACAAAGGUUCUUUUCUUGUGGGAUACUUAAAUCCUAUUAUGAGUUUUACUUUCGCUUUAUUAGAUUAAUUCUAAUCAAACAAAUUAAUUGUCUAUAAAAAUAUUAUUAUUCUUCCCUAUAAUGUGAGGAUGUAUGCAGUACAGUGAGGCAUCGACAAGGCACUUCAUCUGCAACCCAACAGUUAUAGUGAAAAAAACCAAUUUGGUUGAACCAAAAUAUUGACAAUUUCAGUCUUGUUCGCUUUGUUGUACUGUAGAAAACUAAUAGAUAUAUAAAAAUUGCUAUUAUGUAGCACUAUCCCUUAGUCCCAAAGACCAAUUAAUUCAGAGGGGAAAAUUGCAUGCAUCCCCUUUUAAUUAAUUUUGAGUGGUGUUCUUGUUGUUGUUUAAGUUGAUGAUCACUAUUAGAACGGCUGCUAUGGAAGGUCUAAUUAAUUAAACCAAUUACAAAUGGUCUAAAAGAAAAUUAUGUCCUUUCGUGUCAAUCAAGAUCAUUGUUGACUCACGCUAAACAAGUUGGUACUAGUCCUUGGCCUCGGGAGUACUUGUUCAAAUUUUAGUGGGCGCCUUUUUUGGCCCGGGUACAUUGUUAGUUGCUGCUAUGCUGUUGCUACAGUUCGAAUCCUGUGCAGGGGGGGUCGAAACCGUGGAUUGCCGAUAGGCCACUAAUAAAACAAUAUCCGUAUUCCUUGAAAGAUGUUUAAUUAUCUAGACUAGACUAGAUGCGCGUUUGAUUCGAUUUAUAUAAUAUUACAGUUUAUCUCAACAUAAUUAAAUAUCUAAAAUUUCUGAUUCAAAUUAUUACUUUGAUUGGAUUAGUACGUUUAGCUCAAUCCAGUAAUGUAAUACCGAAUUAUAGCGUAUAUUGUAUUAAUAUGUUUGGUUCAUUUUAUUAAAUUCAAUAAUUCUUACCGUAAAUCGUAGGCCAGUCCAAAAUUUUCUUUGGCAGCAGCGUCGACGGUAGAGAGGCAGCUGAGGUGGCCGAGAUUGGUAGUUGGGAAGGGUUCGUGAAAAUGGAAAUAGAAGAAGAGAGAGAGAAUAAUGACAUGUUGAAGGGGUUGGAGAGGUUGGAUGGGUAAAAUUAGAAUUUCACAUAAUAUAUAUAUGAUUAACCGCCAUCAGUAAUAUGAGAUACCUAUCCACUCGGUAAUAUGUCAGAGUAAUCUUGCACCAUUUGUAAUUAAUGCUCAAUUAUUGACCGAAUUACAAAUUAGAUGAAUCAAAUACAGCAAUACUGAUAAAAUUGUCUGUAAUCAUGACAAGAUAAGCUGAAUCAAAUACGCUCUUAGGCAUAUUAUAUAUUAUUUUUAAGUUUUUUAUUUCGAGAAAAAACACUCAUCUUGAAUACGGAAGGUACGUUGCUGAAUAAUCAUUGCUGUUAUGAUCAUGCAAUCGAGUGAAAGCAUGUUCCAAAAUUGCAAUUACAAAAAAAUAAAAAUUAUUUAUUGGUUGACAGCAGUCCACGGAUGAUUGGUUUUCUCUAUAUCAAUUGGUCAAAGUGCAUCAAGUGAUCAUCCCGUCUGACUACUCGUUUCCUUCUGGACCACUAAUUUUCACCGCAUAAUCAAUCCGUGUCCAUGAAAUUCGCUAACCGAAUAAAUUGUUAUUGUAAAUAUAAGUGUUUAUCUCAAAAUUUUAAAAAGAGCAAAACUUCUAUACAAUAUACUUGCAAUACUUUUAAAAGGCAAGAGAGUUCAAAAGUUUAAAUUAAAGUAUAAUUUCUUAAUUUGUCCGAGUAUUGUUGGAAUACAAUAAAGUAACGGGUUGGUAGGUCCUGUCAACAGAACUACAGGAGAGAGAAAAACCAGGUCGGUAAAAAUGUACCGAGGCCCCUCCACUAUAGGACGGAUUGAAUGCAGUCCUUAACCUUUUUUAAGUUAAAAUUUUAUGAAUUUUUUUUUAUUUUCAUUACAAAUAUUUAAGGCAAUUUCACAAAUAUUUUACAUCUGGGAUCCGUUUCAAUACCGCUUGUAGUUGGGGGUAGGGGUGGCAACCCAACUCGCCGUUCGCGAGUCAGUUCGUGUUCGGCUCAAAAUGAGCUCGAGAUCGAAUCGCUCGUUUAGUAAACGAGCCUGACACGAGCUGAAUUUUUCAGCUCAUUUAAUAAACGAGCCGAACACCAGCUAGGGUCAGCUCGCUCAUGUUCGGCUCGAUAACAGCUCGAAUACAUAUAUUUUAUAUUUAUAUAAUUUAUUUAAUUUAUAUUUAUAUAUAUAAAUAAAUAACUACAUAUAUAAUAUAUAUUUUUAUUAUUUAAUUUUUAGCAAAAUAAAAAUAUAAAUGUGAACUCAAUUAUAAACGACUCAUUUAUAUGUAAAGUUUCAAACUAUUAUAUAAAAUUUAAUGGAUNUGAACGAGCCGAAUACGAGCUGAAUUUUUGGGCUCGAUACUUUAAUGAACCAGCUCGUGUGUUCACCUCGUUUAAUAAAUGAGCCGAACACGAGCCGGCCCAGCUCGCUCGUGUUCAGCUUGUUAAUUUACACCCCUAGUUGGGGGUUAUCGAUCGCCGUACGUUUUUACAUUUCUGCUCUAGUGAAAAUGUGUAACAAACCCUUCAACUAUAUUCUUAAAAUAGGGCCUUUAACUAUCUAGUUCUAUUUAUACACAUUUUUUUAAUUUUUUUUGACUGAGUUAUUUUCACUAAUUAAACUGAAAUUUUUAUUAAAUUAAAUAGUUACUCUUAAGCCUGAUUAUUUUUAACACAUUUUCAACCUUUCACUUUAAUCACUAACUUGGAUUAAAAAUAAUUACUUGCAUCUAAUUUAUGUAUUGUCCGUAUAUUAUGAAUCUGUUGAUCUUUCAUCCAUUUCAUAAUGUUAAUUCAAUAGUCCAAUAUUUAAAAGAACAUUAUCUUAAUGGGACAGCUCAUUGAAACACAAGAUUAAAAAAAUUAAUAAUUAAAUAUGUGGUAGAUAACUAUACUAAUACACUGGGUAUAGGCAAAUAAUUUGUCAUUAAAUACUAAAUGUGUAUGGGACAAGUAAAAUUUUGAUAAGAUUUUAAAACCUUUAAUAUCAAAUUUAAAAGUUAUAUAUGGGACAAAAAUAAAACUAAACUCAAGUUGAGGGAAUAGUGGUGCAAUUUUUACUAGAAAUUAAGCAUCAAUUCUAUCUAUUUAUAGGCUUUGUUCUUCUAUUUUUAACCCUUCACAAAGAUAGGGAUGACAAUUUUUUCUGCAGACCUAGAUCCCCGCGAGGAUCUAUCCCCAGUUGAGCGAGGAUGGGGAGAAUUUUGUCUCCGCCGAGACUGGAAAAGAAAAAAUUUUCUCCCCGCUCCUAGGGAAGGGGCAGGGACGGGGGAGGGGCCGGAUACCACUCCUGCUUUACGAAAUAGUAUUAUACUUAGUUAGUUAAUUCGCGUUUAAUACGCGAAUUAAACGGCUAUUUUUUUACAUACGAAUUAAAGGCGAUUUUCGUAUUUUUUCGGAAAAUUCGAAAAAAAACGCGAUUUCUUUCUCAAAAAUCAUUAUUCGCGAAUUAUUCGCGAUUCGCGAAUAAUUCGCCCAAAAAAUUGGCGAUCGCGGUCACGGACUUGCGGCCGAGGGUCGCGUCGUCGCCUCUCUCGUCGCCGCUCGUGUCNAAAAUUUUAUUUAUAAAUAUAUAUUCAUUUAUUAUAUAUAUUAUUUUAUUUUUAUAUAGAAAUAUUUAUAUAAUAUUUUGUUUAUAAAUUUGUAAUUAUUUAUUAAUAUUUUUAAAUAUAUAAAUUUUAUGUAUUAUUAAUAAGGUUUAUUAUUAAUAUAUGAAUAUAUUUAAUCUAUAUAUAAAAAUUAUAAUAAUAAUAUAUAUAGUAUAUUAAUUAUUAUAUAUUUAUUAUAUAGCCGAAUUUUUGACCCCGAAUUUUUAAUUAUCCGUAUAAAUCACGUAUCCGAAUAAUUACCGAACCCGUUUUUUAGCCGUAUUUUUCAACGAAUUUAAAAAUUUAAAAACGAAUUUUAUCCGAAUUAUACCCGUACCAAAUUUUUGCUGAAUCCGAAUUAACUAACUAUGGUUUUAUAUCAUUAUAUAAUGUUAACAUAUUUAUAUUAAUAAAGAAAACUAAUUUUAAUAUUUUUAAUAUAUUCUAAUUAAAUUAAAUAUUUUAAACAUAUUUAGUUUUUUAUAUAAUAUAUUAGUUAAAUAAUACUUGAUAUCUAUACGCUUAAGUAAUUUGAUAAGUCACACUUAAUAACUUUGAUAUUUAAAAAAAAUAAAUUUAAUAACUAAGUAAAAUUUUAUUAAAUUUUAAAGAAAGAAUUAAUUUAGCUAUUUUUUAAAAAAAUUUGCGGAGUUCCAGCAAGGAUCGCCAUCCCAACGGGAACGGAAACGAAAACUGGAGAAAUCUUUUCCCCCCAUUUGCAGAGAUUUGGGGGGGAGGGGAAUUCUAAAAGCUCACGGGAACAGAGACGGGGAAGGGAAAGGAUAUAUGCUCCGCUCCGCUCCGUUGCCAUCCCUACUCAGAGAACAAGUAGACUCACAGAGAACAAAAUAAGUAUAUUUUUAAUCCUCUAAUUAUUGACUAAUUAAUUUACCCUUCUAGAGAGCACCGAGUUAUAAAAAAAAAAGACAUGAUAACAAUGACAAUGGGAAGAGUCGUUUAUUAAUUUUAUUUUGUGACACUUCUACAAUUCAAACGGAUCCAAAAUGACAAAAUAAAAAAUAAAUAAAUAGAAAAAAAAAACAAUCUUCCUACUAACAUGUGAGAAUUUAAUAAAGUUUCUCAGAAAAAAGAAGUUCACAUUGGAUUCUCUAAUCUUCUUUUCAAAUUAUAGGCACAAUUAUGAUACUUGACUGUUAAAUGCACCGAGUCAUGCUCAUGCCAAACUUUUUGUAUUUUUUCCAUGUCUCCGGCCAAAAUUUUCUACAUACAAAUAAAGAGUAUGCAUCCUUGACCAAGGAUUAGAUUAUAUUAAUUGGACCUUCCCUAUAUUUAUAGUGAUCAGCCUUAAUUAGAAAGUGAAAACAAAGAAUUGACCCAUGUUUUGGGGGUCUUCAUCACAUAAUAAUAAUAAAAAAUCUAUACAUAAACGUCGGAGCAUGCAUCAAAAUAUUAUAUGGGUAAAAAUACAUAUAUAGAUAGUCCCUGUGCUAUCCUAAUAUUUCUAGUUAUUUGCAUACUUUAGCCUCAGAACUUAUAAAGAUACUGCUCCUAUGGUUCCCGAACAAUAAAAAAAUUAAAAUUUUAUUACAAUAUAAUAUUUAAAAAUAUUUUUAAAUAGCUGAAUGUUUAAUUUUAGGAUAGAAAAGUUUAGUCAUUUCAUGAGAAAAAUUAUGUCUUUCGUUUCAUGUUAAAUGACUGGGGCGAGUUCGGAAUAUCAGGAUAGUAUAUAGGGACUAUCCCUAUAUCUUAGUCUUAUUUAUCAGAGAAAAAUGCUAGCUAGCUAUGUGGACAACCAAAAAAGAUUAUAAUCUUUACAACCCUUAAUUUAAUAGCUUAAUUAAAACGAGUUUAAACAACUCAUUUUAAAUUUUAGUUAACUUUAUCUGGGCUAAGUUGGAAGAUCAUUAGAGUCGUACGUAAGACCACCAACACUCUAUUUACUAAGGACGCUACUACAGAUUAUCCCAAAUAUGGUAGAAGGUAUUCUACUAUGCUGUAGAUGACAUAAAACAAUGUCAUUAUUAUCCCUAAACAUUAAUUACUAAAUCCUAAAAACUAUUAUUGAAGCCUAUGCAUCAUCAUUAUACCCUAAACUCUAAACCGCAUGUCUAUAUAUAUGGAAACAUUAACAAUAUAUUGAAGUAUAUACUCCAAAGUGGGAGAUCCAAAGCAUUUCUGAUUAAACUAAUCUAUCCACAUGCACGGUGCCUAACAAAGGAUGCAUUUAUUUGCACACCUCAAUUUGUUGGUCGCCAAUGAUUGCCUCGGUUCGGUAUUUUGAAAACGCCGAUUCAAGCUAAUGAUUAAGUAAUAGAAAUGUGGUAUGCAAGUCAAUAUACUACUACCUCUGUUUGGCUUUCUUUGCCUUUUAUUUUAAGGAUCGGCGUUGAAUGAUAAGCAAGUUGUCUUAAGUACAUUGGAACAAUUUUUUAACUUUUCGGUGGCCCCAUUACUAAAUUUAUAUAGUAUAGGCAACUAACACUACAACAAAAUUAAAUUAUAGGGACACAUGUUUGGGACACUUUUGAGUAAGUAUCCCAUUUAUGCUAAAACUUAAAAAAACAUCUACUAAUGCCUAAAUAUAAAGCCCAAUUCAACCAAAAAUAAAAGAUUACUCUACUCAACUCACCACACCCAGUCCAUUUGGUCCGAUUACAAACAAAAAAGAAAAAAAAAAGAAAAAUCAAUUACCAUAUUUUCUUCUCUCUUCACUCAAUCUAUUGAAAUUCUAGAGGAAGAGCCUUUCUUGUCGUCCUCCUCCGCCACCGUAGCCAACGAGAUUGAGUUUCGACGGUUGCUAAAUGCUUAAAUAAGUGUUGGUAAAUUAGCAGCACUCUUUUAGGUUAUAGCGACACUCUUUAACUGUCACUAUAUACCUAGCGACCCCACAUAUAGCAACACUUUUUAAAAGUGUCGAUAAUUUUAGCUAGCAGCACUUUUUUGACAUGUACCUACAUUUAAAAGUGUCGCUAUAGACCGUUUUUGUUAUAGUGUAAUUAAUUAAAUAGCAUACGCGUAAGGGACUAUUAUAACAAGGACCUAAUGAAUAUUAAUAAAAGGGAAAAUUUAAAAUAAAAAUGCAUGUGCGAAGAGGCCUUUUAAACCUAAUUUAGCACUUGUAUAAAUAAAUCUCUUAGCUUUUAAAUUUAGUAAUGAAAUUUUCUAUGUUUUAUGAUCAUAUGAUUUAAUAGAUUUCUCUCCUCAAACGAUAGUCAUUUCAACCGCAUGUCUCGAACAUAAUUUUGUGCAGCUUCAAAAUAUGAAAAAAAUGUAUAAUCUCUAUAUAUCAGUUAUGAUAAUCAUGUAUUGGAGUUUAAAAAUAGGAUAAACCUUACUUCACCUUUUAUUAUUCUUUUUUUAUGUGUUAGAACGUAAACGAAAAUGUAUAGAUUUCUUUGUGUUUUAAAGCUUUAAUAUAAAAUGUGCAAUAUAAGAAACCAAAAUGACAAUAUAUAUAAUUUGCUAACUCUGAUUGAGGGCAUGGACCUAUUGAACUACUAAAUAAUGUUUAGAGAACUAAUUAUUAAAAGUAAAAGUUUAGGCGUCUAUUUGUGAAUGUGUUAAAUUAAUGUUAGAGGAUAUUGUGCAUUUUCUAUCCCGGCCAGUAGAACUUAUUAUUAUUAUUAUUAUUAUUUAUUAUUGAUAGGGCGAAAUUAAUAGUCCUUGCAUUGGCAAGAUAGAUUGCAUGCAUCUAGCCUGUAAAUAGCUAGUGAGAAUUGAUAUUAAAAUAAUUAACUAGUUGUUUUUUAAUUGAUAGGGCAAAAUAGUCCGAAUCUUGGCAAGAUAUAUAUGUUUUACCUACUCAAAAAAGAACUUAAUUAUCCAUGCAUGCACUUCUCCGGCUUUUCCGUUAACCUCCCAUUUAAUAAACAAUUGUCUAGUUUAAGUGUAAAAAUUGGUGGAUUUAUUUAUAGUGCAAUUUAGUAGGCCUUAAUUCGCAGGUAAAGAAUGUCUUUCAUUAAAAUUGUGUUGAAAUUAAUUUCCCACUCUCCUACAUCUUUGGGCUUUUGCUUGUGAUGAAGCUAAUGUAUCUUGUCCUUGCAUCAAUUAAUGAUGCAGCGAACAAUUAAGAUAGGGAACGAAUAUAUAUAUAGGAGGGCCAAAUUUUGUAGAAGAUAUCUAUAACUCUAUAUGAAUCCCCAAUAAAAAUGAUGACAUAGUAAGCCCUCCUUCUUUUAGAUUUUUUAUAUUUUUUUGUUCUCUUUGAACCGACCUCUCCUCUUCCUUCAACCGUUUCUCUUUUUCAUAUGACAUUUUAUCUUUUGCUCUCUUUGAAACGACCUCUCCUCUUCCUUCAACCGUUUCUCUAUUUCAUAUGACAUUUUAUCUUUCCAAUGUGACCGUUUCUCUUUCCCAUAUGGAAGUUAUCUUCUCCAUGCGACCGUUUCUCUUUUCCAUAUGACAAUUUAUUUUUCCGAUCAUGCAACCGUUUCUCUUCGCCAUAAUUUCAUAUGAUAUUUUAUCUUUCCAAUGUGACCGUUUCUCUUUCCCAUAUGAAAGUUAUCUUCUCCAUACGACCGUUUCUCUUUUUCAUAUGACAAUUUAUUUUUUCGGCAUGCAACCAUUUCUCUUCACCAUAAGUUGUGGUUUCUUCUCCUGCUUCUUCAUUGCCAUUUUCUUUACCAUCUUGCCUUUUUUAGUACAGAUUAACCAAUUCUCUACUUUUAUUUAUCUAUAGAAUUCUUCAGCAUAUUUAAUAAUAUAAUCUGUACAUUCUUUCAUGUUGGAUUUGCAUAAUUGUAUUGAUUUUUAUUUUUUAUUUUUUCAGUAUCAUCCUGAUGUCGAUAAACAGCCUGGAGUUACUAAAAAAGUUCAAGAUGAUAAGCGUGCGGGUAUAUAUAUAUAUAGAGUUGAGCUGGAAUGCUAUCGGUAGCAAACUGGCUCCGUUGCCACCCAUUUGUUUUCGAUGAUGGAGCCUUUAAAUUGAUGAUCAGCACCGUUGAACAUGAUCUAUACUACUUGAAGUAUCUAGAAACCAAAUUUCAAAUCAUUUCGACAUCAUUGACCUAAUGAUCAAAGGGUUUCAAAAUUUAUAAUUUUAAUGGUAGAUAUGGGGCGUUUUCUCGUUUAACGUUGUAAAACUAACCAAAUCAAUUGAAUUUUGGUUAGAAAAUUCUUUAAACUAUUUAGAAUAAAAUCUAUACUCUCAAUCUUGAUUACAAAAUUCCUAUCGUCACUUUUUAGAGGAUAUUCAUUUUCAGCCGUUCAUUUUUACGCCCACUUGAUGGACAAGAGAACAAUAUCGGAAAAACAUGAAAUUUGAUUUCUAGAUACUUCAAGUGGUAUAGAUCAUAUUCAACGGUGUCGAUCAUCAAUUUGGAUGCUCCAUCAUCGAAAACAAAUGGGUGGCAACGAAGCCCGUUUACUACCGAUAGUAUUCUAGCUCAACUAUAUAUAUAUAUAUAUAUAUAUAAUUUAGAUGUUUUAUGAUAUGAAAUUUUUUAUUAAAAAAUUUAUUUCAUUUUUUUUGUUUUUUAGUUUUUCGAGCUGUCUUAGUGCCUCCUUUUACAUGAAAAGUUUUUACUUCUUUGGAGAACAAGAUUUAAUAGUCAAUUUGAAGACCAUUAAAUCAUCUCAAUGCAAGUUGUUGUUCCAUUUGAAUAUGAUUUUCUUUUUCUCUAAAAUUAUUUAUCAAUUAUUGUUUUGCAAGUUUUGAAUUAGAUUCCGAUAAUAUUCAGUAUCGGAGAAAGAUCAUUUUCAAUUAGUUGUUUCACUUUGAGAAUGAAAAAUAAUUCUUUUUAUUACUAUUCUUAUUACAUUAUUCCUUAUUAUUAAUUAUUAUUAAAAUUAAAAUUAUAUAUAUAUAUAUAUAUAUAUAUCUAAUUGUUUUUGUGAUAAGUUUUAUUUUUCUUUUUUUUAUUGAUGGAUACUUUUUAUUUUUCAUUGGUAGCUUUUAUAGUUUCCGUCCGCUGCGAAGCGCGGGUCUCUUCACUAGUAUUUAACUUAUUCCUUGGUGAUCAUACUACCAGAACUUCAUUUCCUCCAUAAUUUUUUACUAGGGAUAAUUGCGUAUAUACCCCUCAAAACUUCAAAAAUAUCUGAUUUAUCCCCACUUUUUUUUUUUUUCUUUCUAAUAUACCCCUCAUAUGUUCCUCCGUUAUUCUAAAAUACCCCUGUAGUUACCACCCGUUAAGUUAACUUGGGUUAAACGUGAGUUAAAUAUCUACUACAGUUAAAAAAAAUUAAAAUGCCACUUUUGUCCUUAACUUAAGGGCAAAUAAGAAAUGUUGGUGAUGAUAGAAGGGAAAAAACAAAAUACCUUUUGUGCCCAUAACUUAAGGGCAAAUAAAAAAAAGGGAUAAUUGCCUAUAUACCCCUCAUGCGUAUGGAAAUAUCCGAUCUACCCCUACUUUUUUUUUUCUUUCUAAAAUGCCCCUCGUGCGUUUCACCGUUAUUCCAAAUUACCCCCGCGGUUAUCCCCUGUUAGCUUAACUCGGGUUAAACAUUGGUUAAAUGUAUACUAGAGUUAAAACCUAUCUAAAAUACAUAUUUUGCCCCUACCUCUUUAUCCUAAUCCCUUAAGUUAUCCUUUCAUUCUCUCCCUCCCAUCUUUACUCUCCUACGCCCAACUUGGCGCCAUUCGCAACCGUCGUCUUCAACCUAGAUGACAGCCUUGUUGGAGAGAAAAUUGUUGCUUCUCCUCUACCAUUUCUCUGUUGUCCUUGGUAAAAAGUACUUCCUCCUUCUCCGCUGCCUCUUUCUCCGCUGUCUCCGUUGAUCUUCGCCACCAUUUUCAUUAUUUAGGGUUUUGGGGUAUCCGAAUAUUGUGCUAUGUUGGCAGGAGAACAGGGUCAACAUUGUGUUCUUACAACUUUCUACGUAAAGAAAAAGAUAAGAUUCAUGAAAUUUUGUAAUUUUUUACAUCUAGGAUUUUUUAAUCUGCUAUAUAAAUUAACUUCUUAUCAUUUUAUUCUAUGAAUUAAUUUUUUGUGAUUUGAUCUUUAAUAUCUUUUGCAUGCAUCGAAAUGUUGCAUUAUAUUUGGUGUUAUUUAAAUUUAGCUAUUAAUUUGCAAUUGCAGCAUGGUACCAGAUUAUAGAUUGAAAGUUAUGUAUGGGGGAGUGUUUAAACCAGUAAAGACAAAGUUAGGCAGAAAAUAUGUGUAUGGAAUGCAAACUUGCUACACAGUGCUUAGUGAUACAUAUACUUUAAAAGAAUUUUUUAAAGAUAUCAAGAAAAUGUGGGAUUGGGGAGAAAAAGAAUAUGUGUAAGUGGCUUAUAAAUCAAAGAAGACCAAAGGAGAAUCCAAUUAUGUGCAAGUGGCUUAUUUAGUUUUUAAUUCCACUGAAGAUGACUCAAGUGAGAAUGAGUUAGUUUAUGACAAGGAGAAUUCAAUUAUAGACUAUGGUGUGAAAUAUCUUGAUGUCAACUCAUUCCAAAGUACUCUUCUUCAAUUUGCUGUCCAAAAUCAAUUUCAAUACACGGUUAUAAAAAGUGAUCAAUCUAGAGUGAUAGCAAGAUGAAUGACAAAAGAUUGUGGGUGGAGAAUACAUGUAGCAAGGAUUUGAGGAAAGCUACCUUUUAGGUAAAGAAGUAAAUUUCAAUUGCUAUUAUGUCUAAUAUUACUUUACUCUAAUAUAAUUAUUUCUUUCAAUCUAUUAUAUCGACAGGUCAAAACUUUCCAAUCAGAGCAUACGUGUGAAGUUGUCAAUAGGUGUGGAAACAAGAAUGUUACAAAAGGAUGGAUUGCAAAAAGAAUCACUAAUUGGCUAAAAAUUAAAGGUGAUAUACCUGUGACUGAAUUAUUUAGAAGACUUAAAGAGCAGUUGUAACGACCCGACCCGCUGGCAAUAAUAACUUGUUGAACCCAAACAACCAGCCCAAAAUGCUUAAGCCCAGUUAUUAUUACUAGGGUGGAGUCAUCUCAUAUACCCAAUGACAACUCCAUUUUCAUCCGAUGUGGAAUAUUAGGGUGUCACAAAUUCCCCCUAUUUAGGCUCUAACGUCCUCGUCAGUUCUAAACACACACACAAUCCAAGAUCACCAGAUGAUGUGAAACUGAUCUCGUUAGCUUUGUCAUUCCGACCAUGGCUUAGUCUGUCAUUCCGAACCUGGCUCAGACAAGACUCAUUUCACACUUCCGGCUAGUGAGCCCUAAUUAUUAUUAUUAGGUUGGAAUCCUUUUAUAUAUUGUGAGACCCCAAUUAGUCCUAUAUAUAAAAUAUAGUAGGACUAAAUUUCUUAAUCUGGUUAUAACAUUUGGGACAGUGGUUAAGCCCAAGAGGUUAAGAGAGUUAAAUAUGCCAAGACUAGAGUAGUCCUAGGAUGGGUGACCCCCUAGAAAGUUGGGACGUGACAAUUAGUAUCAGAGCUAAUUAUCAGCCGGAAAGCAGUUGUUAGGCCCAAGAGGUUAAGAGAGUUAAGUAUGUUAGGACUAGAGUAGUCCUAGGAUGGAUGACUCCCAGAAAAGUGGGACGUCACAGGUAACAUUGUUUGACCCAAUAGUUGAUCACACAUGGGGAAGGUAAUGGAAAAACCUUAUAUGAGUGGGAUAUAAAAUUUACAUCUAAGUUUAGAUAUAUGAGCAGCAUUGCUCCUUAAUGUAAAGAUGAUGAGACCCCCUCCUCAACUAUCGGCCAUGCUGGAAUAGACCUCUGAAUUUUAUUUUAUUUUAUUUUAUUUGUAGAAACCUCUUAAAAUCGUAAUUUUAAUUUGCAUUAGGAUAAACUUAAAAUUGUUCCCGCCGGUCAAGCGCAUUUUUUAUUUAGCUCAGAAAGUUAUAUUUAAUUAUUCAGUAAUUUUAUUUUAUUUCGUAUUCUUAAACAAAGAAAUAAAACAAUACUUUUCGAAAUCAUAAGAUAAUAAAGUGUUGAUUUUAAAAUUAUAAAAUGCUGUAUUAUACCUCUCCGUAGUUCGCAAAGUGUUCAGUAUAUAUAUAUUGUCAUAUUUUAGGUCCUUGCGAUAAAUAAAAUAAAAUUAUAUAAUAUUUAAAUUUGUAACUACUUAAAUUAGAGAGUCGCAAUAUAAAAAAUGCGUUAAACCGCAUAAGAGCAAAUCAGAGUUUGUCCAUUGCAUUAUUAUAAUACGAGUUAAAAAUUAGGUAAAAUUUAAUCAUUUUCUAUUAGCCAACUAAUUAUUAACUGUUUUAAUUUAAUUUAUUUGCUACAAAGUUAUUAUUAAAAUUAUCGGAUCUAAUAAACUCGCAAACAAAUUUUAAAAACUUCUAAUUAAAUUAAUUAAAAAUACUUAAUUUUAAAUUAUUACAAAUUAUGGAAGGUAUUAAUAAGAAAAAAUGGAUUUAAGAGUGCCUUCAAAUAUUUCUCCGAAAAAGUUGAGAGGUCAAUUUCAAAAUACCUGAUAGUUGAGGGGGUCUCCUUACAUAUUUACUAACAAAAAGUAUUGGCAAGUGAUAGGUCACUGUUGGUUGACAUCAUGAAAGCUAUCUACUACAGACAGCUUCUCGGGCCGAGUUUGCAGGGCAUUGAAAGCAAAAUUGUCCAUCACAAUAAUUGGAGAAACACAGCAGGCAUCAAAUCACAAUACAAAAACCAUUUUAACUGCAAACUGCACAUUUGGGGCAUGUUUGUUUCACGAAAACUGAACUUUGGAUUAAAAUGGACUUUGGGUUGAACUGGAGUUCGGUGAAAAUUACUUCUUUUUCGUUAUUUGUUUCGUAGUUAUGAAAGUGAAGUUCCAUUAGUUCUGGUGUUUGUUUAGUANGGUUCCAAAACAGCUGAACCGGUCGAAACGAGCUAUUGGACUGAUAUGAACGGAGUCCGAUACGCGCCAGAAGCCAACUCUACUCCGUGGCUUCUCCGGAAAAUCGGAGUUACUAUUCACUUAAGUGAAAACUAAAAGUCGCGUAUCUUCUCCAUUUUAGCUCAUUUUCGCCCGAAACUUGACGAGUGCUUAUGUAAUUAAAUUACACACAUAAACAUCAUCAACAGAGAGUUUAGUAGCACUGUCAAAAAUCUCAGUCCUUACAUGUAGUUACCACCCGUUAAGUUAACUUGGGUUAAACGUGAGUUAAAUAUCUACUACAGUUAAAAAAAUUAAAAUGUCACUUUUGUCCUUAACUUAAGGGCAAAUAAGAAAUGUUGGUGAUGGUAGAAGGGUAUAUUUGAAAAGAUCAAAAAACAAAAUACCUUUUGUGCCCAUAACUUAAGGGCAAAUAAAAAAAAGGGAUAAUUGCCUAUAUACCAUCAUGCGUAUGGAAAUAUCCGAUCUACCCCUACUUUUUUUUUCUUUCUAAAAUGCCCCUCGUGCGUUUCACCGUUAUUCCAAAUUACCCCCGCGGUUAUCCCCUGUUAGCUUAACUCGGGUUAAACAUGGGUUAAAUGUAUACUAGAGUUAAAACCUAUCUAAAAUACAUAUUUUGCCUCUACCUCUUUAUCCUAAUCCCUUAAGUUAUCCUUUCAUUCUCUCCCUCCCAUCUUUCCUCUCCUACGCGCGACUUGGCCCCAUUCGCAAACCGUCGUCUUCAACCUAGAUGACAGCCUUGUUGGAGAGAAAACUGUUGCUUCUCCUCUGCCAUUUCUCUGUUGUCCUUGGUAAAAAGUACUUCCUCUUUCUCCGCUGCCUCUUUCUCCGCUGUCUCCGCUGAUCUUCGCCACCAUUUUCAUUAUUUAGGGUUUUGGGGUAUCCGAAUAUUGUGCUAUGUUGGCAGGAGAACAUGGUCAACAUUGUAUUCUUACAACUUUCUACGUAAAAAAAAAGAUAAGAUUCAUGAAAUUUUAUAAUUUUUUACAUCUAGGAUUUUUUAAUUUGCUCUAUAAAUUAACUUCUUGUCAUUUUAUUUUAUGAAUUAAUUUUUUGUAAUUUGAUCUUUAAUAUCUUUUGCAUGCAUCGAAAUUCAUUAUAUAUGGUGUUAUUUUAAUCUAGCUGUUGAUUUACAAUUUCAGCAUGGCACCAGAUUAUAGAAAAUCACUUUCAGCAUGGCAUUAGAUUAUAGAAAAUCACUUUAAUUUUUUGUGAUUUGAUCUUUAAUAUCUUUUGCAUGCAUCGAAAUUCAUUACAUAUGGUGUUAUUUAAAUCUAGCUGUUGAUUUAUAAUUUCAGCAUGGCACUAGAUUAUAGAUUGAAAGUUAUGUAUGGGGGAGUGUUUAAACCAGUUAAGACAAAGUUAGGCAGAAAAUAUGUGUAUGAAAUGCAAACUUGCUACAUAGUGCUUAGUGAUACAUAUACUUUAAAAGAAUUUUUUGAAGAUAUCAAAAAAAAAAGUGGGAUUGGGGAAAAACAGAAUAUGUGCGAGUGGCUUAUAAAUCAAAGAAGUCCAAAUGAGAAGCUCAAAAGUUUAUUGAUAUUAAAGAUGAAAGUGAUUUUCUAUAUAUGUUAGACCAAUUCACAGAUGGUACAGAGAUAAAAAUAUUUGUUACUAUUAGUUCCGAUGGCAUCGCUUUUAAUUUCAAUGUUCAGGAUGUAGUUGAGGAUAUAGUUGAGGGUGAAGUUGAGGGUGAAGUUGAGGUUGAAGAUGAUGUUAGAAUUGAGAAUGUAGCUGAGGAAGAAGAUGAUGUUAGAAUUGAGAAUGUAGCUGUGGAAGAAGAUAAUGUUGGAGAUGAAUAUGCUGAUUAUAAUGGUGUAGAAGAUGCUGUUGGAGAUGAAGGUGUAGAUGAGGAAGAAUAUAGUGUUGAAGAUGAAGGUGGAGCUAAUCUAGAGACUGAUUAUGAUGCUGUAGAUGAAGGUGUUGGAGACAAGGAAGCAUAUGGUGUUGAAGAUGAAGGUGGAACUCAUCUAGAGGCUGAUUAUGAUGCUGUAGAUGAAGGUGUUGGAGAUGAAGGUGUAGCUGAGGGAGUAGAUGAAUCAGAUAAAUCCUCUACUAAAAAUUUUGAAAAGAAUUUAGGCUUUAGUUCCAUUGAAACUGACUCAGGUGAAGAUGAGUUAGUUUAUGACAAUGAGAAUCCAAUUGUGGACUAUGGUGUGAAGUAUCCUGAUGUCAAUUCAUUUAGAAGUGCUCUUCUUCAAUUCGCUGUCCAAAAUCAAUUCCAAUACAAGGUUAUUAAAAGUGAUCAAUCUAGAGUGACUGCAAGAUGUAUGACAGAAGGUUGUAGGUGGAGAAUACACGGAGCAAGGAUUCGAGGAGAAGCUACCUUUUAGGUAAAUAAGUAAAUUAUAAUUGCUACUAUGUCUAAUAUUACUUUACUCUAAUUAUUUCUUUCAAUCUAUUGUGUCGACAGAUCAAAACUCUCCAAUCAGAGCAUACGUGUGAAGUUGUCAAUAGGUGUGGAAACAAGAAUGCUACAAAAGGAUGGAUUGCAGAAAGAAUCAUUAAUUGGCUGAAAAAUGAAGGUGAUAUAUCUGUGAGUGAAUUGUCUAGAAGACUUAAAGAGCAGUAUGCAAGGUUAGAGUUGCCCUAUUUAAGGCUGUGGAAGGGCAAGGAGCUCGCUAUGACCCAAUUACAUGGAAAGUAGGAUCUAUCAUUUUUAAGAGUUUUUGAUUUUUGUGAUGAGAUUAGAAGAAGAAAUGUAGCAAGUCAUAUACAGAUUAAAUUGAUAGAGUUGGAGGGUAAACAACAUCUUCAGCGAAUGUUUAUUGCUUUUGGGGCUAGUAUACAAGGUUUUCUAACAGGGUGUAGGCCAUAUGUCGGUUUAGAUGGAGCUCAUCUUAAGGGUAAAUUCAAAGGGAUUAUUGUUUCAGCAAUUACAUUGGAUGGAGACAACUCAAUGUUUCCGGUUGCAUAUGGUGUGGUUGAGUCAGAAUAUGCAGAAAGUUGGAAAUGGUUCCUAGUAGCUCUCAAGGAAGCUAUAGAUUGUCCUAAUGGUUUGGUUCUAUCCAGUGAUAGGCAAAAAGGCUUAGAUAAGGCCCUUCUAGCUGUCUAUCCUACUGCUGAACAUCGUGAAUGCAUGCGUCACUUAUAUAGUAACUUCAAGAAACGAUUUCGAGGAGAUAUUUUGAAGAAACAUCUAUGGGGAGCAGCUAGGGGAUAUACAAGUUCAGCAUUUCAGUACCAUAUGGAAAGGGUGGAGAUGGCAGAUAGUAGAGUGGUUGAUUACUUAAGAGAGAAUCAUGGUCAUGUAUGGAGCCGCUCUUUAUUUGGAAUAGAUGCUAAGUGCGAACAAGAAACCAAUAAUAUCUCUGAGACUUUUAAUUCUUGGAUCAGUAAAGAAAGGAAUAGACCAGUGAUAGAUAUGAUGGAUGCCAUACGACAGAAAAUAAUGAUUAUGAUGAACAAAAGAAGAAGAGAUGGAGCAAAAUGGUCAACAAAGCUUGUACCAGGAGCAACUAAGCAUAUCAACAAUUUGACCAAGGUAAAUAUAAAAACCUGCUCAUUGUUUCUUACUAUAAAUUAUUUCUAAACAAGCAAACUUACAAACUUGUAUUGUGUUAAUGCUAGGAUCUUGAAAAUUAUAAAGUGUUGAGGUGUAGUGAUGAGCAAGUGGAGAUAGAAUGGCCGAAUUCAAGAUGUGAUGUAAGGUUGGAUGAGAGGACAUGCACAUGUAGAACAUGGCAAGUCUCCAGAUUGCCCUGUGUACAUGCAAUUGCUUUUAUAGCUAAGAUGAAACUCAAUGCUGAAGAUUAUGCAUCAUCAUACUUCACUGUGGAGAGGUAUCGAGAUGCCUAUUCAUUAAAUAUUAAGCCAUUGCCUGCCCAAGAGGAAUGGAAAAAGAGUGAUAUAGGUUUUAGUGUAUUGCCACCUAUAUUAGCAAGACCUGUUGGCAGGCCACGAAAAAAAAGAAUAAGGGGAGCAGGAGAGAUGAUUAAGAGAAAACACAAAUGUGCUAGAUGUGGUGGUUUUGACCAUCAUGCAAGAACUUGGUAAGAAUACUGUUCCAGUAGCAGGUUCUAGCCAACAAUCUAGAAGGUAAUUUAUUUCUUUCAACCUACUAUAUUAUCUUUCAUAUUUUUCACUAGUUUCAAUAUCUAGAUAUAGUAAUCGUGAAUUUCUUUUCCAGCAACAUAAGAAGAAAAAAUAGUGGAUCGCAACAACAAGAGCACGAUUUUGAACAUGCGGCAGCAGCGAGAUCACAGCAGCAAAAAGGGUUAUUUCAUAAUGCUACAUCUUUCCAUCAAGCUAUUAUCUUAUCUUUCAUUUUUCUUAUAAUCUUAAUUUAUAUAAUUAGUGACUUUAAACUUCGAUUUCAGUAAGAAAAAGAAGAGAAAUAGUGGAUCGCAGCAGCGAGAGCUAGCUCAAGAUGUAGCAGCAGGGGCAGUACAGCAGCAAAAGGGCAAUACAGCAUCUUCAAGGUAAAUAUAUUUCCAUACAGCAUCUUAGUCUUAAGUGCUAAAUUCAGUGACUGUAAACUUCAUUUUUAGAAAGAAAAGAAGGAAAAUUAGCGGAUCGCAGCAGCGGGAGUUAGAUUCUCAAGUUGCAGCAGAAACAUCACAGCAAAAUGCGGCAAUUCUCUAUUCACAACAGGGUUCAACCAUUUUUAGCAUUGAUGCAAAUAGAUUGCUAGGUUGAGAAUGCUCUGUUAUUUUUUCAAUGAAUGCUCUGUUAUUUUUUGAAUGAAUGCUUUGUUAUUUUUUGGAUGAGGUUGACCCUAUUUUUUUUGGAUAAUGAUGGAUGAUGAUGGCUUGUAAUUUUUUGGAUGCUGAUGGCCUGUAAUUUUUUGACUGAUGAUGACCCUGUUAUAUUUUGGAUGUGAUGACUUAUAUUUUGGAGCUUGAAUGAUAUUAUUGUUAUUCAUGAUACAAUUGUUAUUCAUGAUGACUUAUAUUUUUGGAUGAUGAUGGAAUUGUUGGUCUACAAUUGUUAUUCAUGAAAGUUCUGCUAUGAUGUAAUCCAAGUAAUUGCAAAUAUUGAAUGAAUGCUUAAAUAAGACAUCCUACAUAAUAAUACUUCUUUAACAGAGAUAAACUAUUGUAAUUGCAUCCUGCAAACCAACCCAAUUACAUGAAAAUUAUAUAAUACUCCAUCACAUCCUGUAUUAUAUAGUCCAUCAUAUCUAAAAUACUCCCCUUAUCAGUAUAUCAAGGAUUACAAUACAGAAAAGUAAUUUAAGCCAGAAUAGAACUUUCACUUCCAUCCUUUGAAUUUUUUGCUCAGUGGCUUCUCCAAUUGCUUUUAACUGAUAUUUUAGAUCUAAAGUGCUGUGUUGCACAUCGUCGGUCCAUAAAAAAUAAUUGCAAUGUCCAACUCCUUCAACCUGCAAAGAGAAAAAAAAAAAUUCUUAUAUAUUAUUCGUAAGAUAUAGUCCAUGCAGUUAGAAUAUACAAUAGCUUAUCUUACCCCACAAUUUAGGUAGCGGUAGAAUCGACGUCCUUGGCUUGUUGGCUGCUUCGAUACCCAUAUUCUACAAGAUCUUUCGCAGUCGCACACAUGAAUUUGUGCGCCAGGAGUUGAUGCAGAUCUCUCACUUAGAUGGCUCAUUAUGGCUAGAAGUGAGGCAAAUAAGAGAAAAAAAAAAGCUAAUAGAUGGAGAAGUAAGCUUGACUUAUUUUUGAGCUAUGGAUGUGCUUUUAUAAUGUUAGAAAAGAAGGCUACCGUUGAAAUGACCGUUGGAGGGUAAAUAGGAAACGAUUUUGAUAUUUGAAGGGCAAAUAAGAAAAGUAUUUGCUACAUGAAGGGUAUAUAAGAAAAGUUAGUUACGGUAUAAGGGUAUAUUGGAAUGGGCAAAAUGGUAAUUUUUCAGGGAUAACGACAACUGUUAACACCUCACUAACGGAAUUUAACUCCAGGGGUAAAUUAAAAAGAACUUGGAACAUAAGAAGGGUAUUUUCAAUAUUAGUCUUCUAAGAGGGGUAAAUAAGAAAAUCGGAAACUUUCAGGGGUAUAUAGGCAAUUGCCCCUAAAAACAAUUAGAAGGACAAAAUAGUAAUUUCAUAGAGAUAAUAGAGUUCAUUAACAGAUUUUAACUCUAGGUAUAUUUGAAAUAUAUUGGAACGUAAAAAGGAUAUUUUCAAUAUUAGCCUUCUAAGAGGGGUAAAUCAAAAAGUUUCCGCUAAGAAGGUUAAAUCAAAAGGUCGAAAACUUUUUAGAAGUAUAUAAGCAAUUGCCCCUUU
Molecule: long non-coding RNA, 20590 nt
Filed under: Ananas comosus (pineapple)
Lineage: Eukaryota; Viridiplantae; Streptophyta; Magnoliopsida; Poales; Bromeliaceae
Description: long non-coding RNA (ACOM_LNC013323)
Source: RNAcentral